RNAcentral lists this unclassified non-coding RNA (261 nucleotides) under Pinguicula lilacina. RNAcentral's name for it is "ITS1". The record is from RNAcentral. Lineage: Eukaryota; Viridiplantae; Streptophyta; Magnoliopsida; Lamiales; Lentibulariaceae.
UCGAGACCCGUAACGAGUAGACCGCGCACAUGUUUAUGCCGCACGGGGCUCCGGCGGGAUCGGCGCACGCGCCUCCCGUCGUCGCCCCGCACACCCGCCGGCGCUUGCGCAAGCGAAGCACGCCCGGUGGGGCCAAGAACAAACCCACGGCGCAGAAUGGCGCCAAGGAUCACGAACGCGGAGCGCCGUCCCCGUCGUGCACCCGUCCGCGGCGUGCCGUGCGGGGAACGUGCGCCUCCCGAUAUUGAAUAUGAGAAAAAU